This 251-nucleotide ribosomal RNA is filed under the name uncultured prokaryote. RNAcentral's name for it is "partial 16S rRNA". It matches the Rfam family "Bacterial small subunit ribosomal RNA", at positions 525 to 775 of the family's 1533-position model. The record is from RNAcentral.
AUGGAGGAUGCAAGCGUUAUCCGGAUUCAUUGGGUUUAAAGGGGGCGCAGGCGAAAUGAUAAGUCAGUGGUGAAAUCCUACGGCUCAAAUGUAGAACUGCUAUUGAUACUGUCGUUCUUGAGUACACUUGGAGUGGGCGGAAUGUGUCAUGUAGCGGUGAAAAGCUUAGAUAUGACACAGAACACCGAUCGCGAAGGCAGCUCACUAAAUUGUAACUGACGCUCAGGCGCGAAAGCGUGUUGAUCAAACAG